UCUCCCUCACUUGAGCUUUCUUUCUUUCUCUCUCUAUCUGAUUGUCACUUAGAAUCUCCAUUAUUUUUCUGAGGUAAUCUGACUUAAAUAUUGGAGAGUUCUUCGUCCAAAACCUCCAACAAGCAAACUUCCUCUAUUUUUGAUGCAGUUAGGAUCGAUCAUAAUGUUGGAGUAAAGAUUUGACCACCAUCAAUUACCUC
RNAcentral lists this long non-coding RNA (200 nucleotides) under Elaeis guineensis (African oil palm). RNAcentral describes it as "long non-coding RNA (EGUI_LNC033938)". Lineage: Eukaryota; Viridiplantae; Streptophyta; Magnoliopsida; Arecales; Arecaceae. The record is from RNAcentral.